This 439-nucleotide ribosomal RNA is filed under the name uncultured bacterium. RNAcentral describes it as "partial 16S ribosomal RNA". It matches the Rfam family "Bacterial small subunit ribosomal RNA", at positions 339 to 795 of the family's 1533-position model. The record is from RNAcentral.
CUACGGGAGGCAGCAGUGAGGAAUAUUGCACAAUGGGGGGAACCCUGAUGCAGCAACGCCGCGUGGAGGAUGACGCAUUUCGGUGUGUAAACUCCUUUUAUAUGUCAAGAAAAUGACGGUAGCAUAUGAAUAAGCACCGGCUAACUCCGUGCCAGCAGCCGCGGUAAUACGGAGGGUGCAAGCGUUGCUCGGAAUCACUGGGCGUAAAGGACGCGUAGGCGGGUUGGAAAGUCAGGCGUGAAAUCCUACAGCUUAACUGUAGAACUGCACUUGAAACUUCUAAUCUAGAGUAUGGGAGGGGGAGAUGGAAUUAGUGGUGUAGGGGUAAAAUCCGUAGAUAUCACUAGGAAUACCUAAAGCGAAGGCGAUCUCCUGGAACAUUACUGACGCUAAGGCGUGAAAGCGUGGGGAGCAAACAGGAUUAGAUACCCUCGUAGUC